GAUGAACGCUGGCGGCGUGCUUAACACAUGCAAGUCGAACGGAGUUAAUUUGAGGAAGCAAGCUUGCUUGAAGAAUUGAAUUAACUUAGUGGCGGACGGGCGAGUAACACGUGAGCAACCUGCCUCUUACAGGGGAAUAACAACGGGAAACCGUUGCUAAUACCGCAUAAUAUGUUGAAAGGGCAUCCUUUUAACAUCAAAGGAGCAAUCCGGUAAGAGAUGGGCUCGCGUCCGAUUAGCUAGUUGGUAGGGUAACGGCCUACCAAGGCGACGAUCGGUAGCCGGACUGAGAGGUCGAACGGCCGCAUUGGGACUGAGACACGGCCCAGACUCCUACGGGGGGCAGCAGUGGGGAAUAUUGGGCAAUGGGCGAAAGCCUGACCCAGCAACGCCGCGUGAGUGAUGAAGGCCUUCGGGUUGUAAAACUCUUUGGGCAGGGACGAAGAAAGUGACGUACCUUAGAACAAGCCACGCA
This 475-nucleotide ribosomal RNA is filed under the name Clostridiales bacterium oral taxon C16. Its description in RNAcentral is "bacterial SSU rRNA". It matches the Rfam family "Bacterial small subunit ribosomal RNA", at positions 28 to 497 of the family's 1533-position model. Lineage: Bacteria; Bacillati; Bacillota; Clostridia; Eubacteriales. The record is from RNAcentral.